This 253-nucleotide ribosomal RNA is filed under the name uncultured bacterium. RNAcentral's name for it is "partial 16S ribosomal RNA". It matches the Rfam family "Bacterial small subunit ribosomal RNA", at positions 524 to 776 of the family's 1533-position model. The record is from RNAcentral.
UACGUAGGGGGCAAGCGUUGUCCGGAAUCAUUGGGCGUAAAGCGCGUGUAGGCGGCUCGGUAAGUCCGCUCUGAAAGUCCAGGGCUCAACCCUGGGAUGCGGGUGGAUACUGCCGGGCUCGAGUCCGGAAGAGGCGAGUGGAAUUCCCGGUGUAGCGGUGAAAUGCGCAGAUAUCAGGAAGAACACCCGUGGCGAAGGCGGCUCUCUGGGACGGUACUGACGCUGAGACGCGAAAGCGUGGGGAGCGAACAGG